Molecule: ribosomal RNA, 450 nt
Filed under: uncultured bacterium
Lineage: Bacteria
Description: partial 16S ribosomal RNA
Rfam family: Bacterial small subunit ribosomal RNA
Source: RNAcentral
CCUACGGGCGGCUGCAGUGGGGAAUAUUGGACAAUGGGCGCAAGCCUGAUCCAGCAAUGCCGCGUGUGUGAAGAAGGCCUUCGGGUUGUAAAGCACUUUUAUCAGGAGCGAAAUGCCAUGGGCCAAUACCCCGUGGAGCUGACGGUACCUGAGGAAUAAGCACCGGCUAACUUCGUGACAGCAGCCGCGGUAAUACGUAGGGUGCAAGCGUUGAUCGGAGUUACUGGGCGUGAAGGGUUAAGUCUGUGUUGAAAUCCCCGGGCGCAACCUGGGAAUGGCAAUGGAUACUGGCGGGCUAGAGUGUGUCAGAGGAUGGUGGAAUUCCCGGUGUAGCGGUGAAAUGCGUAGAGAUCGGGAGGAACAUCAGUGGCGAAGGCGGCCAUCUGGGACAACACUGACGCUGAAGCACGAAAGCGUGGGGAGCAAACAGGAUUAGAUACCCCAGUAGUC